This 253-nucleotide ribosomal RNA is filed under the name uncultured bacterium. RNAcentral's name for it is "partial 16S ribosomal RNA". It matches the Rfam family "Bacterial small subunit ribosomal RNA", at positions 524 to 776 of the family's 1533-position model. The record is from RNAcentral.
UACGGAGGGUGCUAGCGUUGUUCGGAAUCACUGGGCGUAAAGGGCGUGUAGGCGGUCUGUUAAGUCUGAUGUGAAAUCCCCUCGCUUAACGAGGGAACUGCGUCGGAUACUGGCAGACUCGAGUACCGGAGAGGAAGGUGGAAUUCCCGGUGUAGCGGUGAAAUGCGUAGAGAUCGGGAGGAACACCGGUGGCGAAGGCGGGUCUCUGGGCAUCUCCUGACGCUGAGGCGCGAAAGCGUGGGGAGCAAACGGG